GUUAUUUUAUCUUUUGUUACCUGUGACAUUUCUCGCUGAUUAUCGUGGUCUCCAAACACGUUUCUCUGUGCAUAACGUUUCAUGUCUUGGGGCGGGGCUUUGAUACGAGUGGGCGUGUCUAAUUCAGUAGAGAUGUCACAAGGUGACGAUCUUUAGGGGCGGAACCAAAAUUCGGGAAGUUUGGUUCCGCCCGGAAGUGUUUCCGCCCGGACCGGAAAAACAGAACACCGGAACUUCCGGUAGCGCCGUAAGAAGGAAAAUCAGGGAAUUCGAUGCACCUGUGCCUAGUUAGGGACAGCGGUUGGUGAUUGGAGGAUACGCUGGACAAGGCAGUACUUAAGGCCAAGUUAUUUCACAGUCUGGGAGCUCUUUCUGGUGUGUGUGAAGCACUGUGUUGUGCCUGUCUUGGUGCGCUGCUGGUGGCUGUCUAACUCUCUCUCUCCCUCAGGCUGGAAUUGUAUGAUUGUGAAGACAUCGCGAACCUUAAAGGUUGAGAAGUGAACGGAUUAUACGGCGAACUGAGACGACGUGAAAAAGGGGAUUGGAAGCGGCAUUGAUGUGAGUACUAAGAGCCAGUCGAAAGUGCCCUGUAUAUUGACCUGGCGUUGUGUAGAUCUCUCCAGGAGGAGGAGGGCGGCCCUACCCCUAAUAUAGCGUGGUGGGAGAGCCGAAGGAAUACUUAUUGAAGUAGUCACAACGACGACAUCACUAGCUAGGCCGCAUAUUCCAUCGCCAGAUCCGAACCAAGCGAAGUGAAGGAAGACGGGUGUCCUUUUUGUACACUGAGUGUGGUGGGUGAGUCUUCGUGCUGUGAAAACCUAUAAUUUUGACGUGGUGUUGUAUAUUGCUGUGGGCUGCUGUGUAUUGCCGUGUGUCCUGUCAGAUAAACCCCCGCCUUCACGCACUUCGUCGCGGGAGGACAAGGAGACUGCUGGUCCUAGCCUAGUUCAGUACAGUAUAUGUUGUGAGCGUGCUUCAGAUCUCCGGAGAUAGCACGGUACGCUGUGUCCAGCCCAGAGGUGAGAGCCAUUCAAAGCAAACUAACUGUGCUAUUGUGCCCAAGUUGAUACCUGUGGAGAGAAAAGGAGAGAGAGUGGGUAACACGAGGAGAGACCGAGGAAACCUGUACUUACGCCGCUGCCUGUGGAGAAAGAGAAAGCGACCGUUGCCUGUGGAGGAAGAGAAAGAGAGUGAGCACCCCGAGAACGAACUGUGUGAACCAGUACUUACCGGGAGCUGUAUUCAGCGAAGAGGAAGGAGGGCGCUACGGAUACCUAAGACUCAGGCCGGGGCCCGAGUCCCACGCCCCGGAUCCCCGUGGCCCCCUUGCUCCCUGACCUCUUCCCGGCCAUAGCCCAUCUGGAGGGCCGACUCAGAGUUUAGUUUUAAUUGCCCUUUCCCUAUUCCCCAAGCUAUUUUUAAAUAUUUAAAUAAAGAUUGUUUUAUCACUUACUUGUUCUCGUGUUGGCCAUUGGGUUGGCUUUGGGGACCUCCUCGAGGUGGAAGUUGAGAAGGGGUGUGGCUUAGUCAAAGCAUAGCCAGCCCCUGGGUGUGACAGAUACAUGUGCGGUUGCACUUUUUUUUUAAUUAGCAAUACUAUCAUUAGAACAAGAAAAAAAGUGGGGUAAUAAUAACAUAUCAAAAAUCAUAUUAUGAACAUUUACUUUUUGUACUCAAAUAUGUAAUUUUAAUAUAUAAUAUAUAAAUAUACAGUUUACUCUAAAGUUGGGAUAUAAACAAACUACAGAAAGGUUGCAUGACUUCAGGGUCACCAAUAAUCUUUAAAUAAAGUAAAAGAACAGUUUGAAGAGUUCAAGAGUGUUCUGAUGCUGUAAAUUCAGACUACUGAGUAGAUGAUUUUACAUGCUUGACGGGAUGAUAUUUAAUGUCCCCGACAGCUUUUGUAGUACCAUUUAUCAACUUGUUAGCAACAAACCUUUUUUCAAAACAUCUAAAAUCACGAGUUGGUAUUGAUGAAGCCUAUUACUGGAAGCGCAAAAAAAUCACACAGUCACAAGUCAGAAGUCUAGCUAUUUGAGUUUCUGGGUUUUAGGACUUAUUACUGUGACAAUCUAUUGAGCCUAGAGGUCAGUCUGUGACAUUUACAGUACAUUCUCUUUUGGUCAAAUGUCUUUUCAACGUACAAAUUUGCAAGUAAGAGUUCACCAAACUUUGGUAUCCAGCAGAAAUCAAAACUUUUCUGCAUGUGCUUGCAUUUCUUCUCUCCCACACUGACAUGCCUAUGAAUGGAAGUGAAGGGAGUACUAAGACAUGUGUUAAAGUCUCUUUUGGGGGAGUUCCUGAAUAGCUAACAUCACUUCCAGCACCUUUAAAGCCCUCUCCGUUCCUCUGCUGUAGACUGUUAUGGCAGCUGAGCCACGGGCAUCCUUGCAGGGCAUAUGAGAUGAUUAAGAAAAUUCUCUGGAGGGAAUUCGAGUCUGCCUGUUCAAAAGCCACAUUCUGCAGAAACAUUUUGCCAACGAGACAGUUGAGGAAAGUCUGGAAUUGUCUGAAUACCCGUUUUGUUUCAACACUGCUGACACUUGCCAUGUGAAAAGAAGGCUGGGUACUUCAUAAUUACUCUAGGUAUGGCAUUAAUCAAUUGACACAAGCUAGACUAUUAGAUAUCAGAGAUUUUGCCCAACACAAACUGUCAUUUGUUUGCUAAGUUAGUUUGCUUUUAUAAGCAGAAGCAACAUGCAAACUAGCAUUAAGGAGUGAUGGAUUGAUCUGUAGGUGCUGUGUGUGUGUUUCCUAAAUAUCUUCAGCUUCCAACGGCAUGUCAUUUGGAAACCCCAUUUUAUUAUGAUAACAUUACAAAAAUGUUAAAUGUUCACAGAAAAUGGCAGUAGUGUGAUUUAGUACAGUUCUCCAAUUCUUCCACCUUGUGCUGACAAAGUAACACAGAUGCCAAGCUAAUGGAAGCUUGUUUCCACCAACGGAUUAAAAAAAAAAAGAUAAUUGUGACUCUUAAUACACUCCUUACUAAUUUAUAUCUUACAAUUCAGUUUUUUAUUAUUAUUUUUUAGUCAGUGGCAUAAAUCACACACACACACACACACACACACACACACACACACACACACACACACACACACACACACACACACACACACACACACACACACACACACAAUUUAGAGUAAAAUAUUAAAUUGCAAGAUGUAAACUCAAUAUGCUGAGGAAACAAAGUCUGAAUUUCAAGAUGUAAACUUAGAAUUAAAAAAAUCUCUAAACUGUCAGAUGUAAACUCAGAAUUUCAAGAAAAAACAUGAAACUGUGAGAUGUAAACUCAUAAUUUUGAGAAAAAAAAUUGUUAAUUGUGAGAUAUAAACUAGCAAUAGCAAGGAAAACUCUAAAACGGCG
Cyprinus carpio carpio is the source of this 3366-nucleotide long non-coding RNA. NCBI's taxonomy places the organism in Eukaryota, Metazoa, Chordata, Actinopteri, Cypriniformes, Cyprinidae. The record is from Ensembl.